This is a long non-coding RNA of Pseudophryne corroboree (corroboree frog), 667 nucleotides long. RefSeq lists it as uncharacterized. NCBI's taxonomy places the organism in Eukaryota, Metazoa, Chordata, Amphibia, Anura, Myobatrachidae. The transcript is spliced from 4 exons. The record is from RefSeq and is a predicted model, not a curated record.
GAUUGUUUUUCGGCCAUUUUACAGAAGCCUGAGUCUCUUCCUGGAGGUAUUACCCCUGCACAAAAUAGCCAUAUAGGACAAUAUAGCCAAAAUAGGACAAAUAUAGUCAAAUAGCCAAAAUAGGACAAAUGUGUCACAUGACAGGGAAGCUCUAGUGGUCACCUGAUAUGUACUACACUACCCAGCAUGCUUUGUGUCCUCAUCUCAUUCCCUGAUAUCACACGGCUGCAAGAAUUUUUUCUAACAGAAGAGUAGAAAAUCCAUAGAUAGUAAAACACCAGUUACUGAUCAUCUGAAGAUGGACAAAGAUAAAAAUGUGAUGACAGAAAAGAUAUUAAAUUUCACCCUAGAGAUAAUUUACCUACUGACUGGAGAGGGUUACACAGUAGUGAAGAAGACAUCCGGUGAGUGUGAGACACCUAGAAGCCAUCCCCGUGUGUCAGAAGGACUGAGGAGCUGGACUCAGAGCCCCAUCACAGUGGCUCCACCUCACUCACUGAUACAUCAGAGACACAAUGACCAGAAAAUCCUGGAACUCGCCAACAAGAUCAUCCAGCUGCUGACUGGAGAGAUGGGGGAGUAUAUAGAGGAACACAGGGGUCUGUACAAGGACGUGAUGAUGGAGAAUCACCGGCCCCUCACAUCACUGGGUAAGAGGAGACUGUCA